AAGUCGUAACAAGGUUUCCGUAGGUGAACCUGCGGAAGGAUCAUUACCGAGUUAGGGUACUCUUCGUGCCCGACCUCCAACCCUUUGUCUACCUGACCAGAUGUUGCUUCGGCAGGCCCGCCGCCCCGUAAGGGGUAGCCGCCGGGGGUCCUUACCGGCCCCGGGUCCGUGCCUGUCGAUGGCCCUUCUAUAAACUCUUGCUGAAAACGUGUCGUCUGAGUAAAAAAACAAAUAAAAUAAAACUUUCAACAACGGAUCUCUUGGUUCUG
Molecule: unclassified non-coding RNA, 269 nt
Filed under: Cyphellophora gamsii
Lineage: Eukaryota; Fungi; Ascomycota; Eurotiomycetes; Chaetothyriales; Cyphellophoraceae
Description: partial internal transcribed spacer region
Rfam family: Eukaryotic small subunit ribosomal RNA (bases 1-46)
Source: RNAcentral